RNAcentral lists this unclassified non-coding RNA (223 nucleotides) under plant metagenome. Its description in RNAcentral is "partial contains small subunit ribosomal RNA, internal transcribed spacer 1, and 5.8S ribosomal RNA". The record is from RNAcentral.
UCUCCGUUGGUGAACCAGCGGAGGGAUCAUUACCGAGUUAUCAACUCCCAAACCCCUGUGAACAUACCCGACGUUGCAUCGGCGGGACCGCCCCGGCGCCCUCGGCGGCCCGGAACCAGGCGCCCGCCGGAGGACCCAAACUCUUGUUUAAUCUAUAGUGGCAUAUCCUGAGUGUCACAAGAAAAAUGAAUCAAAACUUUCAACAACGGAUCUCUUGGCUCUG